CCUACGGGGGGCUGCAGUUGGGAAUCUUGCACAAUGGGGGAAACCCUGAUGCAGCGACGCCGCGUGGAGGAAGAAGGGUCUAGGCUCGUAAACUCCUUUUUCAGGGAAAGACUUAGGACGGUACCCUGAGAAUAAGCUCCGGCUAACUACGUGCCAGCAGCCGCGGUAAGACGUAGGGAGCGAGCGUUGUCCGGAUUUACUGGGCGUAAAGAGCACGUAGGCGGUCUGUUAAGGGAGAAGUGAAAUCUCCAGCGCUAAACGCGGAAACGGCUUUUAAUACUGGAGGACUUGAGGGAUGCAGAGGCAAGUAGAAUUCCUGGUGUACCGGUGAAAUGGGUUGAUAUCAGGAGGAAUACCAAUGGCGAAGGCAGCUUGCUGGGCAUCAUCUGACGCUGAGGUGCGAAAGCGUGGGGAGCAAACAGGAUUAGAUACCCCGGUAGUC
This 442-nucleotide ribosomal RNA is filed under the name uncultured bacterium. Its description in RNAcentral is "partial 16S ribosomal RNA". It matches the Rfam family "Bacterial small subunit ribosomal RNA", at positions 338 to 795 of the family's 1533-position model. The record is from RNAcentral.